UACAGAGGGUGCGAGCGUUGUCCGGAAUCACUGGGCGUAAAGGGCGCGUAGGUGGCGACCCAAGUCUGUGGUGAAAGCUCGCCGCUUAACGGCGAGUCGGCCACGGAUACUGGGUGGCUCGAGCACUGUAGGGGCAGAUGGAAUUCCGGGUGUAGCGGUGGAAUGCGUAGAGAUCCGGAAGAACACCGGUGGCGAAGGCGGUCUGCUGGGCAGUAGCUGACACUGAGGCGCGACAGCGUGGGGAGCAAACAGG
Molecule: ribosomal RNA, 253 nt
Filed under: uncultured bacterium
Lineage: Bacteria
Description: partial 16S ribosomal RNA
Rfam family: Bacterial small subunit ribosomal RNA
Source: RNAcentral